ACUCAAAUGAAUUGACGGGGACCCGCACAAGUGGUGGAUCAUGCGGUUUAAUUCGAUGCAACGCGAGAAACCUCACCUGGGCUUGAAAUGUAGCUGCAAGCUCUAGAGAUAGAGCCGCCUUCGAGGGUGCUAUGUAGGUGCUGCAUGGUUGUCGUCAGCUCGUGCCGUGAGGUGUACCCUUAAGUGGACUAACGAGCGCAACCCCUGUCGUGUGUUGUAUUUUCACACGAGACUGCCUCCGUAAGGAGGAGGAAGGAGGGGACGACGUCAAAUCAGCAUGGCCCUUACGUCCAGGGCGACACGCAUGAUACAAUGGUCGGUACAAAGGGUUGCCAAGUCGCGAGACGGAGCCAAUCCCAAAAAGCCGAUCUCAGUUCGGAUCGGAGUCUGCAACUCGACUCCGUGAAGCUGGAAUCACUAGUAAGCGUAGAUCAUCACGCUACGCUGAAUACGUUCUCGGGUCUUGUACACACCGCCCGU
This 480-nucleotide ribosomal RNA is filed under the name uncultured bacterium. RNAcentral's name for it is "partial 16S ribosomal RNA". It matches the Rfam family "Bacterial small subunit ribosomal RNA", at positions 899 to 1397 of the family's 1533-position model. The record is from RNAcentral.